CCCCCUUCCGAGGGCACCUGAUUGGUUAGUAGAGGACAGCGCUCUGUGUGGCUCCUCGGUGGAGCCGGCUCCCAGCCUGAGAGAAGGGUACAUGAGCUGUGAUGCUGCCAAAUUUCUGUGCCCCUUCAAUGUGGAACAUGUGGUCAUCAAAGAAGAAGAGGUGGGGCCUUAUCUUCACCAAGAUGGGACCUUUGGGGGCUCCAGCAAGGAAAAGAGCUUCGUCUAUCUCUAGACCCCAGUGGCGAAGGGUUUUCAGCACGCGGGCGCCUGAACUGGCUGCGCUCCUAGCUGUAACCAGGUCUCUGCUGCUUUGUGUAUACUACAGGACUGGCUGAAUGGAAACUUCCAGCCACAGGACAUGUGGAGACAAUCAGCCUAGAUAGGUAAGAAAAAUUCAAUUGAGAAGCUAGACUGGAUGAAGAGGACUAGAAGCAGGGUUCCACAGGCUCUUAAGGCAAGUGAUAUAUAACUAAAGUAUUUAGUGUUGCAAAGAGUGGGGCUAAAAGAAAAUAUGCUAACCGCACACCAGGAAAGCAUUGGCUUUUCAGCAAAAUG
Delphinapterus leucas (beluga whale) is the source of this 555-nucleotide non-coding RNA. The record is from RefSeq and is a predicted model, not a curated record. Lineage: Eukaryota; Metazoa; Chordata; Mammalia; Artiodactyla; Monodontidae.